Molecule: unclassified non-coding RNA, 1110 nt
Filed under: Hevea brasiliensis (rubber tree)
Lineage: Eukaryota; Viridiplantae; Streptophyta; Magnoliopsida; Malpighiales; Euphorbiaceae
Source: RNAcentral
GUGAGACCUUUUGGGAAUGCCAACUAAUGACAAGAAUGAGAAAGAAACCAAGCAAUUAAAAAAAGUACAAUAACAGUUUCUUCAAAAUAGGGUUUCUUGUAUGGUUGUUGUCAAGACACAUUGAUAUAUUCCUGAUAUCUCAGCACCUAAAUGAGCUAAGAAAAAUAAUAUGGGUACCUAGAUGAUAAGUAACCAUAGAAGUUAAGGCAGAUAAAAAAACUGUCAAUUAAAACUAUUUACUAAAACUUUCAUGCUAAUUUACUUCCCAACAGGCAUCUGUAUAGUAUAAUGGAUGACUUCCAUAAUACUUGAGGGAAGAUCAUAGACAUACUGAAAUAGACGUUUAGUUUCACAGAACCCUAAAGUAGAAACACUUGGAGAAAUACUAUCAAGAUAAAUUUAUCGAUGGAAAUGUGACUAUGAAGAGAAGAAUCACCAGUGGCCACAAAUUGAUGGGUUCAUUACUGAAUAUCCAGAUGGCACUGGCAGUCCAUGGAUGCAUGAGGAACCUAUGCCAUUAAAGUUCCGUAAUAUGCUCCCACCUAUAUAGACCAGCAAUACAGGCAUUAUAAAGAAUUGUGAUUCACUACUGUGCAAGUGCCAAAUGGUUAUCAGUCUAACUGAGGACCCAUAUAACCUAAGACAAAGGCAGCUAAAUGAAUAACAUCUAUCCACUAUUAUUUAUUUUAUUUCUUCUAGUAUAAAGUUGAGGCCAUACCGAUCCUUGAAUGUAGAGCCGACGCUUCCCCCCCAAUUUUCAUGCUCAGAAUCCCUUCACCAAGUCCCUUGAUCAACUAUUCUAGUCAUUCAAAUUGAAAAUCAGAGAUAGUGCAGAACAAAAUCAUGUGGCACAAACAUUCGUCUUUUUAAAGAAAGUAUAUCACAUUCUUAUUACUAAAGAUUUAUUUUUUACAGACUGCAUGGUUGAUGAUGUAACAACCUCAUCCAGCAAAACCUCACUGCUCUAACUUAAGAUAUUUGUGUUCUGGUUGUCAAUGUUAACUUACUGUGCAGUGCUAUGAUAUAAAGUGAUUCAGGGAUCAUUUUGCAAUAUAAGGAUGGCAAUGUCUGUCCAGUCUCUAGGCUUCAAAUCCUAUUGAAAUGGUUGGC